Molecule: small RNA, 429 nt
Filed under: Pan troglodytes (chimpanzee)
Lineage: Eukaryota; Metazoa; Chordata; Mammalia; Primates; Hominidae
Description: processed transcript
Source: RNAcentral
GGGAAGAGGCACAUGUCACACCUGCAAGAAGGUCCAAGGAUGAGAUUAAAAAUUCCGCAAAGGUCCAAAUUCUAGGGCCCAGACAGAAGAGAAGAGUCACAUCAUCUAGAUGAUGAAUGAAAAGAUAUGUCAUUAUUCUCCUUUGGGCAGUGCUUCUGCAGAAAAGUUGCACCUUCUAGGUGUUGGACUCAGCAAUAUAUCACAAUGUCUGCGGUAUUUUGGAAGGAGAGGAGAGUCACCAUUACUUAGGUGCUAGGCCCAGCAAUACAUCUCAAUCACUUCUUGGGCAAAGCCCAAGCAGUAAAAAAGAGUCACAUUACCUAGGUUCUGGGUAUAGCAAUAUGUCACAAAUGCCCCUAAGAAGAGGGCCCAGGAAAAGAGAGUCACCUUGGUGAGAAUGUCAGAGAUAUUCCAUUUUUGGGUAUUCAC